GAUGAAGAACGCAGCGAAAGGCGAUACGUAAUGUGAAUUGCAAAUUCAGUGAAUCAUCGAGUCUUUGAACGCACAUUGCGCCCCCUGGUAUUCCGGGGGGCAUGCCUGUCCGAGCGUCAUUGCUGCCCUCAAGCACGGCUUGUGUGUUGGGCCCCGUCCUCCGAUCCCGGGGGACGGGCCCGAAAGGCAGCGGCGGCACCGCGUCCGGUCCUCGAGCGUAUGGGGCUUUGUCACCCGCUCUGUAGGCCCGGCCGGCGCUUGCCGAUCAACCCAAAUUUUUAUCCAAGUUGACCUCGGAUCAGGUAGGGAUACCCGCUGAACUUAAGCAUAUCAAUAAGCGGAGGA
RNAcentral lists this unclassified non-coding RNA (345 nucleotides) under soil metagenome. Its description in RNAcentral is "partial contains 5.8S ribosomal RNA, internal transcribed spacer 2, and large subunit ribosomal RNA". The stretch from base 1 to 119 matches the Rfam family "5.8S ribosomal RNA", at positions 35 to 154 of the family's 154-position model. The record is from RNAcentral.